GUAGGUGGCAAGCGUUGUCCGGAAUUAUUGGGCGUAAAGCGCGCGCAGGUGGUUCGUUUAAGUCUGAUGUGAAAGCCCCCGGGCUCAACCGGGGGAGGGUCAUUGGAAACUGGGGAACUUGAGUGCAGGAGAGGAGAGUGGAAUUCCACGUGUAGCGGUGAAAUGCGUAGAUAUGUGGAGGAACACCAGUGGCGAAGGCGACUUUCUGGCCUGUAACUGACACUGAGGCGCGAAAGCGUGGGGAGCAAACAGGAUUAGAUACCCUGGUAGUCCACGCCGUAAACGAUGAGUGCUAAGUGUUGGGGGGUUUCCGCCCCUCAGUGCUGCAGCUGACGCAUUAAGCACUCCGCCUGGGGAGUACGGUCGCAAGACUG
RNAcentral lists this ribosomal RNA (374 nucleotides) under uncultured organism. Its description in RNAcentral is "partial 16S ribosomal RNA". It matches the Rfam family "Bacterial small subunit ribosomal RNA", at positions 527 to 896 of the family's 1533-position model. The record is from RNAcentral.